UACAGAGGUCCCAAGCGUUGUUCGGAUUCACUGGGCGUAAAGGGUGCGUAGGCGGUUGGGGAAGUCUGACGUGAAAUCUCCGGGCCUAACCCGGAAACUGCGUUGGAUACUAUCCGGCUAGAGGAAUGGAGGGGAGACUGGAAUACUUGGUGUAGCAGUGAAAUGCGUAGAUAUCAAGUGGAACACCAGUGGCGAAGGCGAGUCUCUGGACAUUUCCUGACGCUGAGGCACGAAAGCCAGGGGAGCAAACGGG
Molecule: ribosomal RNA, 253 nt
Filed under: uncultured bacterium
Lineage: Bacteria
Description: partial 16S ribosomal RNA
Rfam family: Bacterial small subunit ribosomal RNA
Source: RNAcentral